Molecule: unclassified non-coding RNA, 3504 nt
Filed under: Eurytemora carolleeae
Lineage: Eukaryota; Metazoa; Arthropoda; Copepoda; Calanoida; Temoridae
Description: serine/threonine-protein kinase unc-51
Source: RNAcentral
GCGCACUGCAGUCAGUCUUAACCCACUGUUUAGUGGAGAGCAAAUACUGUAAAUAAAAAAUCCACUAAAUUAGUGGAUAAAAAACAAUUCGCAUAUUUUUAUAAUUUUGUCUUUCAUUUAACAAUCUGGUGACACGCUAUUAAAGACAGUUCUGAGUUACAAAAGUCCGACUCAAGGACAUUUAAAACUAUCGAUUUUUUGUGAGUAAUUAGACCACACAGCUGAUUACAAAAACCAUCGGCAUUCGUCAUGGAAUAAGCAGACCUCUACUCUUCGAUCAAGAAGAUGUGUACCCCCGUCGGUAUAUACGAGUACAACCCAAAGGAUCUGAUCGGACAUGGGGCCUUUGCAGUUGUAUACAAGGGUCGACUUAAAGCGGCCCCGCACAGUGUGGUUGCCAUCAAAGCGAUUGCAAAAAAGAACCUAGCAAAAUCACAAAAUCUUCUUGGUAAAGAAAUCAAAAUUUUAAAGGAACUAACCCAGUUGGCGCAUAGCAAUGUGGUGGCUCUCCUUGACUGUAAGGAGACCGCCCAGCAGGUGUUCCUUGUUAUGGAGUACUGUAACGGGGGAGAUCUCGCAGAUUAUUUAAAUGCUAAAGGGACAUUGACAGAAGACACUAUUCAACUGUUCUUACGUCAGUUAGCUGGAGCCAUGUACGCGAUUACAAGUAAGGGAAUAGUGCACAGAGAUCUUAAACCUCAAAACAUACUUCUAGCACACGACGGUAGAACCAGGAAUCCCGCGCCUGCAGAUAUAUGGUUAAAAAUUGCGGAUUUCGGGUUUGCAAGAUUUUUGCAAGAUGGGACUAUGGCAGCUACGCUCUGUGGUUCACCUAUGUAUAUGGCGCCUGAGGUGAUCAUGAGCCUGCAGUACGAUGGUAAAGCUGAUCUCUGGUCCCUGGGAACUAUUGUGUUUCAGUGUCUAACUGGGAAAGCACCAUUCCAGGCACAGACCCCCCAGGCCCUGAAGCAGUUCUACGAGAAGAAUAGUAAACUUGCUCCUAGACUUCCAACAGGUAUCUCGAGCCCCCUGGCCCACCUCCUCACCAACCUGCUGAAGAGAGAUGCCAGGGAAAGGAUGGAGUUCGAUUCUUUCUUCCAUCAUCCAUUCCUGGCUGAACCAAGUCCAGUUGAACCGGCUGCAGGAGUUCAGCACUCCGAGGGAAUGAAAAUUCCAGAGGGUCGGAGGCAAGAUGACGGUAGGAGGGAGAUGGAGGGUCGGAGGCUUGAGGACGGCGGGAAGCUGGAGGGAUCUCCGGUUCCAGGGAUGCUGCCUCCGUCUCCUGCUAUCACUACAGUGGUUAUGCCAUCCCAGGUUCAGAAGAUGGAGACAAGUGAUAUGAGUAGUCCAGGGGGUGGACAAGGGAAGGAGGAGAGGAGGAGAGGGGAGGAGAAUAGUUCUCCAGAUAUGGAUCAGGAGUUGGACUACGUAGUAGUGCCUAACAGUAUGGUUGGGGAUUCAACAGCCAGGAAUAAGAAUACGGGUGUUUCUACUUUAACCGGAAAGAGAUUGGGUCGACCUGGAUCUCUGCCGGUCAACUGUAAGACCAAUCCUUCAGAACCUAUCCCGGUUCCGACCCAGCGAGCUGCUUACGCAGCAAUCCAGAACUCCUUGGUCACCUCUAGAGGAAACCUGGACGAGAAGACCAGCGUCUCCGCCAUGUCAGGAGUCAGCUCCGCCUCCGGGGGCUCCACCCUAGGCCCACUCCCAGAGGACGAGACGGUUGAUGUUCUGCAACCGUCUCCCGCCGUUCUUCGUCGACCUCGAACAACCUCCCUGACCUCCCCCGCCUCCUCUCCCCGCUCCCCUAACAAACAGUUCGCCAGCAAGUCUCGGAGGGUGUCCGCCCCUCCUGCCUCCGCCCCUGAUGUAAUUUCCAUGUCUCCGCCCAACAUCCAGUUCUCUAUGGGAACACCCCCUGUUCCCCACCGCCGCCGAACCAGUAGCGGAAGUAGCAGUUCCGCCUGCGGGAACUCUCCGCCAAACACCUCCUGGACAGUUUCUCCUCCGCACUCUCAACCCUGGACCAUAUCUCCUAGAUCAUCUCCUCUCCGCCAUUCAAGAUCUGGCAGGUUUACACCCCCCUCCCUUCCGCCAAUACUUGGCUCACCCAACCAAUGGUCGGAGAACUCAGAGAACAACAACUCCGACCUACACAGGGCUAAUACAGACACCCAGCUUGUUCCCAGCUCAGCUCCCCGAAACAAGGUAGUGUUGAACUACUCCCCCUCCCUCCCCACCAAUCUCUCCUCCACCCCCUCCAGGAGAUCCUCAGGAUGUUUUGACAAGGAGAAUCAGUAUCCAGGGUGCCCCCUGCCCCCUCCUGAUCUCUCUGAAGAGACUCUCCUGGCUCCUGAACAUAAUGAAGUCUUGUCUAAACUUAGAUUUAUCUCUAUGCUCGUUGACACAAUUAUAGGCGUUGCUCGAAGCAAAGCUGCCCCUCUCUCAGGACUGACUGAUUCAACACGACUACCCCCAGAUGGAGGUGACAGCGCACUACAGCGGAGGUUACAGCAGCUGUUAUUGUAUAUGCGCUGUUUACAGCUGUUGUCACAGACAUUGGAUUAUGCGCGAGCAGAGCUCAAGGCUAAACGUUUGAAACCUUCAACAACUGUCAAAAACACACUGGCUACCCUCAACGAAAGGUUUCGCCACUGUUUAUCGAUGAGUAAGAUGUUAAAUGCUGAGAAUAUUCUCUCUGAGGCAGGAAUAGAUCCUAGUGAUACUACCCUCACAGCAGAUAGAUUGUUGUACAACCAUGCAAUAGAACAGUGUCAGACUGCUGCAUUAGAUGAACUAUUUGAUAAUCCAGGAGAAUGUGUUCAGAGGUAUCAGGCUGCUCACGUUCUACUUCACGCACUUCAAUUCCAAACCAGUUCUCAGGAGGAUAAGGCCACCCUGAACAAGUACAAAGACGCUGUGGAGAAACGACUCCAUAUUCUAGAGGAGCAGGGUUAUGUUUACGCAUACGAAACCAUUCUAAACUAGAUGCGUCAAUCUCAGCUAGAUGCGUCAAUCGGAGAUGCGUCAUUCUUCAAUGUUGCUUCAGCUAGUUAAAAUUACAUUUUUCUUCAAUCUUGAAAUUUUUUUAGAAGAUUUCAUCUUUCUAAUUUCUCUCAUUGAAAACAGAAAUAUGUCUAUAUUAGCAUAAUGCUUGGUUUCAUGGAUUUUCGCACGAGCACAUUCAUGUUACUAUUCUCCUUUUUUAAUUAUUCUGUAGUAGUUGUACACAAUAAUACAUGUUUAUUCAUACCGCCUUGUAUGUACUUCAAGACGUUGUACAGUGUACAGACAGUAGUAUACUGUACACACCUUAGUUUGUACCCUCAGUUUAAUAUUCAUCCUGUUUAUUCAUUCUGGUUUUUUGUUGGAACUUUAAUGUUACUUUAAACUUGUCUUUCUUCAACCAUACAUAUAAAUGGUUUCAUUAUUGUUCCGUAUAUGUUACUAAUACUAGUAUAUGAGCUUUAAAACAAGAAAACAAAAUAAAAAUUGUAAAAUUUG